CGCGAAAGAAAUAGAGUCUUCCAGAACCCCCAAAUCCCAAACCCCUCACCGCCGGCCACUCCCCUCUCUUUCCCGGCGACCAUCCGAGUUGAGUUGAGUGAGGGUCCUUCCCCUCGUAUAGCUGUAGUUUUAUUUAGGGCCUCAAUAAAUCAGAUAUGACUUCGAGCUUGCCGAGCAUCUCUCCUUCUAGAUCUGGCCGUGCAACUCAUCCGAGACAGGGAGCAUAGCGGCGGUUGCUGCCAUGUCCAUGUAUGUUCGUUUUCCCUUUGUGGUUGUUGGGUUCAUUGAUUCUCUUUUGUGCAGGCUUUACUUCUCAACCUCCAACUCGAUGCUCUUUCUCUUGGAGCCUACCAGCGGCAGGAACACCAUGAGUAGGCCGCCGAGGAUUUUUGCUGGUGGCGAGCUGCUCGUUCAUGGCGGCGCUGGCGCCAACUACCCCAACCCUUUGUGUCCGCUCCCAACCACGCUCACCCCUCCCAUGUUGUCCCGACACGUACUAAAACCUACUCCGCAGGCAGAGUGCAGCAGCACAGGGCGGCCCUAGCGGCGCGACGUUCAUAGCAGUUUGGCUAGCUAGAAGAUGUACAUUACAGGGAAAAGGGCACCAAAGGUUCGAGGGGAAGCCAAAAUAUGGUUUAGAUCAAGAGAAAAGAAUUGGACAAGACAACACCAGUGAGGCAAUGCAUAGUUACUGCUAGAGGAAUUGACUUUGAUAUCAUACAAGCCAUCAUUUGGUUGUAAAAAUGUUUUUGGCACCCCCAAAUUUACCAAUGAUUGCAAUAGAUCAGUUUCGACAUAUACUACUAUUAGAAGAUGAUACAACUAUUAUUAGUGAAGUUGACAUCAAAAUUGGAAGUUGCAAGUCAUUGUAUGGUUCUAUAAAAUGGCUGUUAGUUUGGUUUGAUAGGUACAUCUUCAUCUCUUCUUGGACAUUUUGUUUCUUUGCUUAGUAUAAAAUGUAUUGCAUGGGUUCAUUUUUUUUUCCCAAAUAUACUACAGGCCCUCUAUAGGGUCAUUAUUUUUUUAAUUUUGCCUAAACAUACUACAGAUCGUCAUGUGUGGACGUGUUUACAAUUGCCACAUGCUCUCUGUACCCUCAGUUACAUGGCAAACAAUGAGAAA
Long non-coding RNA from Aegilops tauschii subsp. strangulata, 1122 nucleotides. RefSeq lists it as uncharacterized. The record is from RefSeq and is a predicted model, not a curated record. NCBI's taxonomy places the organism in Eukaryota, Viridiplantae, Streptophyta, Magnoliopsida, Poales, Poaceae.